UACGAAGGGGGCUAUCGUUGUUCGGAAUCACUGGGCGUAAAGCGCACGUAGGCCGAUUGGUCAGUUGGGGGUGAAAUCCCGGGGCUUAACCUCGGAACUGCCUUCAAGACUGCAGGGCUUGAGUUCGGGAGAGGUGAGUGGAAUUCCCAGUGUAGAGGUGAAAUUCGUAGAGAUUGGGAAGAACACCAGUGGCGAAGGCGGCUCACUGGCCCGUAACUGACGCUGAGGUGCGAAAGCGUGGGGAGCAAACAGG
This 253-nucleotide ribosomal RNA is filed under the name uncultured bacterium. Its description in RNAcentral is "partial 16S ribosomal RNA". It matches the Rfam family "Bacterial small subunit ribosomal RNA", at positions 524 to 776 of the family's 1533-position model. The record is from RNAcentral.